GGAGUAGGGUGUGCACCUAAAUGAAAUCUAUCAAUCCUAGCAGAAGAAAAUAAUUUUAUGGAAUUUAAGAAGCUGAGUCUUUUAGUCUAUGGCCAUAGCAGUGUGAUUAAUGAAAAAAGAUUUCUAUGAGAAUCAUACAUAGACUCGAAUUGAUUGAAUAUAUCAUAUGAUCGAUGAUGAGGUUUGAUGAUUCAUCCAUGACCUACUAUCUGAUCG
Molecule: long non-coding RNA, 216 nt
Filed under: Elaeis guineensis (African oil palm)
Lineage: Eukaryota; Viridiplantae; Streptophyta; Magnoliopsida; Arecales; Arecaceae
Description: long non-coding RNA (EGUI_LNC065495)
Source: RNAcentral